Molecule: ribosomal RNA, 497 nt
Filed under: uncultured bacterium
Lineage: Bacteria
Description: partial 16S ribosomal RNA
Rfam family: Bacterial small subunit ribosomal RNA
Source: RNAcentral
GAUGAACGCUGGCGGCGUGCCUAAUACAUGCAAGUCGAGCGAACAGACGAGGAGCUUGCUCCUCUGACGUUAGCGGCGGACGGGUGAGUAACACGUGGAUAACCUACCUAUAAGACUGGGAUAACUUCGGGAAACCGGAGCUAAUACCGGAUAAUAUAUUGAACCGCAUGGUUCAAUAGUGAAAGACGGUUUUGCUGUCACUUAUAGAUGGAUCCGCGCCGCAUUAGCUAGUUGGUAAGGUAACGGCUUACCAAGGCAACGAUGUGUAGCCGACCUGAGAGGGUGAUCGGCCACACUGGAACUGAGACACGGUCCAGACUCCUACGGGAGGCAGCAGUAGGGAAUCUUCCGCAAUGGGCGAAAGCCUGACGGAGCAACGCCGCGUGAGUGAUGAAGGUCUUCGGAUCGUAAAACUCUGUUAUUAGGGAAGAACAAAUGUGUAAGUAACUAUGCACGUCUUGACGGUACCUAAUCAGAAAGCCACGGCUAACUACGCG